Long non-coding RNA from Tribolium castaneum (red flour beetle), 1115 nucleotides. RefSeq lists it as uncharacterized. The record is from RefSeq and is a predicted model, not a curated record. Lineage: Eukaryota; Metazoa; Arthropoda; Insecta; Coleoptera; Tenebrionidae. The transcript has 2 exons.
UCCCACGUUAGUGACUUUGGUUUUGUCAAAAUCAAAACCCUUGAUCAAAUUCAAAUUUCUAACCUACAAACCAAGAACUUUCAAGUUUUUGGAAAAGUUACGAUGAGAAAAGUUUUUGCACAAUGUUGGCCGUUAUCACCACUUUAAAGGCGGCAAUUACGUACACGUUUUACAUCAGUGUGAAAACGGGGCAAUUUAUUGUCACAAGUUUGGCUUUUCUUCUGACGACGGCCGGAUCGUUCAUAAACAAGCUAUUUUGUCUGUUGACGAAAGUGUGGUCUACGUUUUUGAAUGGCUGGCUGAAAAACUCAACUAUUGCCAACAACUAACUGGUGUCUUAAAAUGGCUUUCUGGAGUUUGCACUGCUCCUAUAAAUGGAAUACUCGCAAUAGUGAGCGCAGUUAAACACAUUUUUGUCAUUAUGAAGCAAGUUGUUAUACUGUUUGGUGACGGAGUGUGGUUUAUCAUAGUCUUUGUACCAAAAUCUGUACUGUCUCUGGGGCCUCUGACGUACAAUUACUUGAAAAGUUUGUGUGUUUACAUCUUAGACAGCAUUUGUAACAAUGUUACGCUAGUUUAUAAGUUAAUUUUAAACUCAAUUUACAGUUGUUACCACUUUGUAACAGACGUACCGCUAGAAUCGCUCAUAGGUUUGAUAGUCGGGUUAUGUUUCUUGUACAUUUUUUCCCAGUUCUAUUCUGUCCUAUUCUCCUAUUUCAGAAACAUAGUGUCUUCGUUUUUUACCGCUUUAAGACUGAAGUACAAUCAUGUGAAAGUGGCAACUUUACGUUUCUUGUCGCGUAUUGCUUUAAAACAUAGUUCUAGACAAGUAAUAGAAUGUAAACCACUGAGUACAAAUAAUGAAGACGAAAAAAACGAGGGUUAUUGUGUAGUCUGUCAGGAUAACUCUAAAUGUGUGUUAGUUUUGCCUUGUCGACACUUAUGUUUGUGUGACGAUUGUACCCCCAGACUGAUGCGCUACAGUGGGCAGUGCCCCAUCUGCAGGAAACGCAUCCGCUCCUCAAUGAAAGUUUACACAUAGUGGAAAAUAAUUUAGUCUUGUUUUAGAGAACUGAUUGUUUUGAAUGAUUAAAUAAAUUUUGUAAUUUGGGAAA